AUGGAGUUCGCCACAGGGGCGUUGGGCACCCUACUCCCCAAGCUGGGGGAGCUGCUUCUUGAUGAGUACAACCUGCACAAGGAUCUGAGGAAGGGGAUCAAGGACCUGAGGGAUGAGCUCCUGGUCAUACAAGCUGUACUUCUGAAGGUGUCCGAUGUGCCACUAGACCAGCUUGAUCAGCUGGUCAAAAUUUGGGCAAACGAUGUCAGGGAGCUGUCCUAUGCCAUCCAGGACAGCCUUGACUCCUUCAUGGUGCGCGUUGAAGGUGUUGAGCCUACCAAACCACACACCUUCUUCGGGUUCAUCAAGAAGACCUACAAGAAGGUCACCAAGCUCAAGAUUCGUCGCGAAAUAGCCAACGACAUCAAAGACGUCAAGAUCCAGGUGAGGGAGGUGAAGGAGCGGUAUGACAGAUACAAAGAUGUUAUUGGUAAUACUAAUGCCAGAACCGAAGUCGACCCACGAGUCUUGACCAUGUACACCAAAAUAUCUGACCUUGUUGGCAUUGAAAAGUCAAUGGAUGAGCUAACAGAGAUGUUGUCUAAGGGCGAUGAUCUGUCCGGCCAAAAGCUCAAGGUUGUCUCUGUUGUUGGAUUUGGAGGAUUGGGCAAGACAACUCUUGCUAAAGCCGUGCAUGACAAGCUUAAAAAGAAUUUUGAUUGUGGGGGUUUUGUUCCAGUGGGUCAAAGUCCAGACACAAAGAAAGUUCUCAGGGAUAUCCUCCUUGAACUUGACAGGGAGCUGUACAAAGCUUCAGCAACAAUGGAUGAAUGGCAGCUGAUCAACCAGCUGCAGAAGUUCCUAGUACGCAAGAGAUCCGCCGCCGCCGAAGGAUGCUGCCGGGCUAAGCUCGGGGCGGACAGCGGUGGCGGAGGUCCUCCUCCCCUGCUCGCAUAUCUUGCCUCUUAUGGAAAUAGGUACUUUUUUGUGAUGGAUGACAUAUGGGAUAUACGAACAUGGGAAAUGAUUAAAUGUGCUUUCAUGGACAGUCAUCCGGAAAGUAGAUUAAUCAUGACUACUCGUAUUGUUGAUGUUGCCACAAAAGCUGGUGGUAUCUACAACAUGGAACCACUUUCUGAUGAUAACUCAGAAAUAUUAUUCUAUACAAGAACAUGUGGUGGUGAAGGACUAACUUCCUCUAACCAACAUGCUGAGGUGACUAACAAAAUUUUGAAGAAAUGUGGCGGUGUGCCAUUAGCUAUCAUUACAAUUGCCAGCUUGCUUGUUGGAAAGCAGAGCGAGGAUUGGUCUAAGGUGUAUGACGCCAUUGGUUUUGGGCAUGAGGACAGUGAAGUUGUUCAGAACACAAGAAAGAUAUUGUCUUUUAGUCAUUAUGAUCUACCUUCGCACCUGAAGACAUGUUUAUUAUAUCUAAGUAUGUUCCCUGAAGAUAGCUUUAUUGAAAAAAACUCGCUCAUAUGGAAGUGGGUCUCUGAUGGUUUUGUUCCAGAUAGGUCAUUUCAGUUAGGAGAGAACUAUUUCAGCAUGCUAGUAAAUAGAAGCAUGAUCCGGUGGAUACAUCGUGAUGAUGUUUUGGAUGGUCAAAGUGGUUGUCGUGUUCAUGACAUGGUGCUCGAUCUGAUCCACACCAUAUCAAAUGAGGUAAACUUUGUCACAGUACAUGAUAUGGAGCAUCACGGCACAUGUCCGGGAGGAAAGUCAGCCAACAAGGUUCGCAGAUUAGCAGUUCAUGGAAAAAGUGGGAAACACAACUGUAGCAUUGCAAUGGAGCAUGUAAGGUCAUUUAAUGUUGUCGAGUGCAGUGCCAAUAGUAUGCCCCUGCUUUCGAGCUUUAAAGUACUGCGUGUGCUAGUUAUUGAGGACUGUGUUUUCUCAGAAGGUAGUAGUCUUGAGCAUCUCGGUAAGUUGGUGCAGUUGAGGUACCUGGGACUAGUGAAGACAGCGGUCAAGAUCCCGGAAGGAAUAGGGCAUGAUCUGAAGUUUCUUGAGAUACUGGAUGUAAGGGGAGGUUUGGUAAGUGAGCUUCCGCCAUCUGUUGGUGAGCUAAUGAAUUUGAGGUGCUUGUGGGCUGAUGUAGGUACAGUGAUGAAGGGCGAGAUAGGGAAACUGACAUGCCUUGAAGAACUGGAGCUACAUUCAGUUGAGAAGUGCCCAAACUUCUUCACUGGGGUGGGGAACCUGACAAAGUUAAGGGUGCUCAAGAUCUUUUUCGGUGAAAUAGAGGUGUCUGCAGGCAAGGCUCUAAUGGGGUCUCUGUGCAACCUGGACAAGAUUCAUACUCUGACGGUUGUGGAUGAUGGUCGUGAUGCUGACUAUUCAGUUGUCCUCAAUCAUAGUUUGGAAGACUUGGCACCCUGUACAAAGCUGUAUGAGUUCGUUCUGCCUAUCAUAGUUAUACCAAGGGUGCCAUCAUGGAUCAAUCAUUUAAGUAUUCCACUCCUUUCUCGUCUAUGGCUGCUUGUGGAUGCAGUAGAAGUUCGGGAUGUUCAAACCAUUGGCAGGUUGCCGUCGCUUUUUAUCCUUGGUCUCUGGAGUAAGAAUGAAAAGAACAUAGCAUAUACUUUUGGCAGCAAUGAGUUUCACAAGCUGAGAUGCUUGUUCACGAACAAGAUAGAGAUCGCUGUUGAAGAAGGAGCAUUGCCGAUGCUUGAAUGCCUGGUAUACAGUGCAUGCGCUGAAAGAAAGGACCGUGCCAGCUUGGUGCCGUGGAUGAGAAAUAGCUGCCCUUUGCUGAAGGAAGUCACCUGUUCCCUUGGCUGCAUUAACAGCAGCUACACGGAAGUAAAGGAAGCGAAGCAAGCGCUGAGGCAGGCUGCCACAACCCAUCCUAAUGCUGUGUAUCUGGACCUUGACAUAGAAUACGAAAACUACGACGACGAGGCAGCUAAAUUCAUUGAUAAUCUCGAGUGGACCCUACAUGGUCUGGACAGACCCGAGGAUGUGGCCCGUCCUGCUGCAUACCAGGAAGAAAGGAUACGUCGCAUGAUUAGAUCACUUGAGAGAAGAUUACGUGACGCCGCGGAGCCUCGGGUCGGGAGGUACGGCGAACAAGAGAUACGAGGCCUUGUUACCAAAUUUAAGAGUUGGCUACAUGAUCAUGCAGGCACCGGCCAGGAUGAGGCGGGCAAAAGUGGUGCCAUGGAUAGUGACGACGAUGAUGAUGAAGGUUAUUGCGACGACGACCAAGCAGAUGUAGACGAUGAUGAAGCCACUUGCAGUGGGGAUCAGCAGGAGGAGGGGGGCAGCCAACCUUGA
Molecule: ribosomal RNA, 3216 nt
Filed under: Triticum aestivum (bread wheat)
Lineage: Eukaryota; Viridiplantae; Streptophyta; Magnoliopsida; Poales; Poaceae
Description: partial small subunit ribosomal RNA
Source: RNAcentral